Long non-coding RNA from Oreochromis niloticus (Nile tilapia), 310 nucleotides. RefSeq lists it as uncharacterized. The record is from RefSeq and is a predicted model, not a curated record. The transcript is spliced from 2 exons. NCBI's taxonomy places the organism in Eukaryota, Metazoa, Chordata, Actinopteri, Cichliformes, Cichlidae.
UGUGGAGCAGUUUGGCCGUCCAGGUGUUGCCUGCAGGGUCGUCACACGUCCAGAUAAAUACUCGUCCAUCCUGGAAGAAUGGAAAACAAUUUCCCACAUAACCCCAGUGGAAGAAAAACAGAAAUGGUGCUGGAAAGCAGAAUAAAUUGCAUGUUCUGCAUUUGUAAUCACAUCAAAUCUCACCUGAGAGCAGCUGGCAAUGGUGCUGGUGGGAAGACCAAUAGAUGGAGCCCAGCCAACAUCUCUCACCCAAUCACUGUGAGCCUCCAGCUUCUGAUCCUCCUUCCACUGCCCAUCCUCCUCUCUGCAG